This is a non-coding RNA of Asterophora parasitica, 81 nucleotides long. NCBI's taxonomy places the organism in Eukaryota, Fungi, Basidiomycota, Agaricomycetes, Agaricales, Lyophyllaceae. The record is from the annotation of a GenBank genome assembly.
GGGCUCUUGGCACAGGGGUAGCGCGCACGCUUCGCAUUACAUCACUGCGUGAGGUCGUGGGUUCAAUUCCCACAGUGUCCA